RNAcentral lists this ribosomal RNA (448 nucleotides) under uncultured bacterium. RNAcentral's name for it is "bacterial SSU rRNA". It matches the Rfam family "Bacterial small subunit ribosomal RNA", at positions 330 to 792 of the family's 1533-position model. The record is from RNAcentral.
UCCAGACUCCUACGGGAGGCAGCAGUGGGGAAUAUUGGGCAAUGGAGGAAACUCUUACCCAGCAAUGCCGCGUGAAUGAAGAAGGUCUUCGGAUUGUAAAGUUCUUUAAUCGGGGACGAAAAAAAUGACGGUACCCAAGGAAUAAGCCCCGGCUAACUACGUGCCAGCAGCCGCGGUAAUACGUAGGGGGCAAGCGUUAUCCGGAUUUACUGGGUGUAAAGGGAGCGUAGACGGCAGCGCAAGUCUGGAGUGAAAGGCGGGGGCUCAACCCCCGGACUGCUCUGGAAACUGUACGGCUGGAGUGCAGGAGAGGUAAGUGGAAUUCCUAGUGUAGCGGUGAAAUGCGUAGAUAUUAGGAGGAACACCAGUGGCGAAGGCGGCUUACUGGACUGUAACUGACGUUGAGGCUCGAAAGCGUGGGGAGCAAACAGGAUUAGAUACCCUAGUA